GUUGGUGUGUGGCAAGACUGCUAGCAAGCAGCACCCUUUCUGCAGAAAGUAAACUAGCCUUGCUGAGAGAUCCUUUGUCUCAGUGUUGAUUUUUGCAACACUAAGCACCCGUUCCCAACAAUUUGGUGGCCCGUAGGGGAUUAACAUUCCCCUCUGGGACAGUCUUUGGUCCUCUCUCAUGGGGAGGUGCCCCACUGCCCAUUGUAGCAGCCCCUGGAGGACAGCCAGGACCUACCCGGAGCAAGGAAUAUAGUUGGAUUCUCAGCAACGCAGGGAAAGAGAGAGGCUUGCAGGACCACAGUGACCAGGUGACUCCAUGCACGGGCCAAGGUAGGAAAAGCUGCAAGAGGGUGGCAAAGUAUUUCCUUGGUGGUCAGCUUUUGGAGGCUGAGUGUGUGUGUGUGUGUGUGUGAACGACUACCAGUCUGUUGCUGGACAGAGUGCAUGAACACAAACAGGAAGGGUGUAAGGAACCACCGAAAGGGAAAAGGAGGAAGGUUAACCUCCCAGGGAAAGAGAAUCGGCGAGACAUCUCUGGUGUGAGAGAUUGAGCCUUUCACAAGCCUUUAAGGAUGGGACAGCCAAGACAUCCCCAGUCUGAAGAAUCUGGGGGAUUGAGCCUUGCCGGGAAAAGAAUAGGCGAGACAUCCCUAGCACAAGGGAUUGGGCCUAUCUAGGAUCCAACAUGGGAAAAGGCCCUUGGCAAGCCUCCAAAGGAAGGAAGGGCAAGAAGCCUCUAGUAGGAGAGGUUGAGCCACCCCCAGCCCCCUGCCGCUGCCAUAUCCAGGAGUGCUAGAAACCUCCAGCAAGGAGCAAGGGGGGUUGAAAGCUCCAGGGAAAGGGCCUAUCCCAGGCACCACCCCAAAACUUCAAGAUAGGAAAUGUUUCGAGUAAGACAGGGAAGAUAAACACCUGUGGCUACAGCAAUAUUAGUUGAAGAAAGUAGAAAAUUAACCUUUGGGGGGAGAUUAACUGUAAGCACGCCCCACCAAGUUAGAGCUAUUUUAAAUCAAAAAGCAGGAAGGUGGCUUACUGACUCCAGAAUCUUGAAAUAUAAGGCUAUUUUGCUAGAAAAAGAUGAUUUACCCUUGACUACUGAUAAUUCACUCAACCCAGCGGGUUUCUUGGCAGGAGACCCAAAUUUAAAAAACACUCGUGUCUAGAUUUGACUGACUACCAAACAAAAGUCAGGCCAGAUCUAGGAGAGGCCCCUUUUAAAACAGGACGGCACUGGUUUAUAGAUGGUUCCCCCAAAAUAGUCAAAGGAGAAAAACAUAAUAGGUAUUCAGUAAUUGAUGGAGAAACUCUUGAAGAAGUAGAGUCAGGAAGACUGCCCAAUAAUUAGUCUGCCCAAACCUGUGUCCUGUUUGCACUCAACCAAGCUUUGAAACAUUUGCAGAACAAAGAAGGAACUGUUUAUACUGAUUCUAAGUAUGCCUUUGGCGUGGCACAUACAGUUAGAAAAAUUUGGGCUGAGCAAGGUCUUAUUAACAGUAAAGGCCAAGAUCUAGUCCACAAAGAACUAAUUUUUCGUGUCCUAGACAAUCUCCAGUUGCCAGAAGAGAUAGCUAUUGUACAUGUCCCAGGGCAUAAAGGACUUUUCUUUCACAAGUCAGGGAAAUAACCAAAUGACCUUGCAGAUCAGAUAACCAAACAAGCUGCUGUUUCUUCUAAAAUGCCUUUCACUUAACUCCUUGCCUUCCUUCCCCUACUGCAGUCCCCAUCUUCUCUUCCACUAAAAAAGGAAAAGUUAAUAAAAAUAGAAGCUAAAGAGAACACAGAAGGAAAAUGGAUACUACCAGAUCAAAGGGAGAUGUUAUCCAAACCUCUCAUAAGGGAGUUCUUAACCAUGGUUCUCAGCCUUCAUGGGUGUAUAGGAAUUUAUACCCUAGCCAAGCAAGUUACAAAUAGUUGUCUAAAAUGUUAAGAAAACCAACAAACAAGUCAUAAAGAAAUCACCUCCAAGGGGGAGGGAUCCAGGACUAAGGCCAUUCCAAAGUGUUCAAAUGAACUGCACUGAAAUGACUCCAAUCGUUUGCCUCAAGUAUUUGUUGGUAAUAGUAGAUCAGCUCAACUCACUAGAUUGAAGCUACCUCCUUUUCAAAUGCAACAGCUAAUAAUGUAGUUAAAGCAUUAAUUGAGAAUAUAGUGCCCAAAUUUGGGCUAAUAGAGAAUAUUGACUCAGACAAUGGAACCUAUCUCACAGCCCAUGUCAUUAAGAAGCUAUCCCAGGUUUUAAACAUUAGAUGGGAGUAUCAUACCCCUUGGCAUCCACCUUCAUCAGGGAGGGUAGAAAGGAUGAAUCAGACUUUAAAGAACCAUUUAACCAAAUUAGUUCUAGAAACUCAUUUACUGUGGACCAAAUGUCUUCCCAUUGCCUUAUUGAGGAUCAGGACAGCUCCCUGAAAGGAUAUAGGCCUGUCUCCAUAUGAAAUGUUAUAUGGAUUGCCUUAUUUACAUUCCUAAGCUGAUGUUCCUGUGUUUAAAACUAAGGAUCAGUUCCUGAGCAAUUAUAUACUUGGUCUCUCCUCUACCUUUUCUUCUCUUAAGGUCAAAGGUCUCUUAGCACAGGCCACCACUAGAAUUUCCAGCACACCAGCACCAACCCAGGGACCACCUUCUCAUCAAAGGGUGGAAGGAAGGGAAACUCGAGCCCACCUGGGAAGGCCCCUAUCUGGUGCUGUUAACCACCGAGACUGCCGUCCGCACAGCUGAGAAAGGAUGGACCCACCAUACUCUAGUUAAGAAAGCAGCUUCCUCGUCAGAAUCAUGGGUUGCUGUACCAGGAUUGAGUCCUACCAAGUUGAAGUUAAAGAAAGCUUAAUUUUUAUAUACCUUCUAUAUUGCUUCCUUUCCUUUCCUUAUUCUGUUACUAGCUCCUUUGUUAUUAAUGUAACUAAGUCUGACUCACCUCAGACCAUUGCCUUUAAUGCUUGCUCUGUCACACCUUGUGGAGAUGUGAAAGAUCAAUGACAGCUAGCCUUUUCACACAAAUAUUUAUGCCCCAGCCCUCUAACUGACACAGUUAUUCCUAGCUCUCAUAGUUGUGAUCGCCUGCAGCUGAGACACCAAUUGUCUGCUCCUACAGCCUGGCAACCUUGCAGUAGCUGGAACUAUGUCCUUUGAACUACUCAGGAGCAAGGUUAGACUUCCACGGAAGAGACAGGAAAUGUGCCCGUGUUGUAACAAGGUUUGAAGGAGGUACCUCUCACACAUGAGCAUGAAAACCCAAUAAUCACACCUAUGAAUUACAAAAGGAUCUAACUAAGGAUGUCUUAAUGGUGCUUCAGUCUGUCAGAACACAGUAUUAAACUGGGAAAGAUUCAGAGAAGAGUACCAGAGUCCCUUCAUUACGUACAAGAAUGUUUGUGGCAUCACUGUUCACAACAGCAAAAAACCCAGAAGGGAAAACCAAUGUCCAAGAAGAUGAGCAUAAACUGGUAUAUUCACACAAAAUGGUAUAUAACUGUUAAAAGAAAUAAAUUACAAUGAUAUGCCAUAUGGUAGGCAAGUUCUGACAAGGCUCCCAAUGUCCCACCCCUGCCUCCUGGUAUUCAUACCUUCGUGUAAUUUCCUUACCUUGAAUGUGGGCUGGACCUAGUGACUGGCUUCUAAUGAAGAGAGUACAGCAAUAAUGAGGGGAUGUAAAUUCUGUAAUUCAGUUACAACAGACUGUGAUUUUGUCUUGCUGAUAUUCUCUCCCUGGCUCUUCUCAUGCGCUGUGAUGGAGAAGGCCACCUUUCAAGGAACUGAGGGUGAUCUCUGUUCAACAGCCAGUAAGAAUCAAAGCUCUUAAUCCAAUUCCAUAAGGAACUUAAUUCUGCCAGCAACCACUGAGUGAGCUUGGAAGUAGAUCUGGCCCAGUUAACCUUGAGGUGACUAUGGCCUCAGGCAACACCUUGAUUAUAGCCUCAUGAGAAAUCCUGAAGUAGAGGAUCCAGCUAACCUGUGCCUAGAUUCCUGACCCACAGAAACUGAGAUAAUGAAUGAGUGUUGUUUUUAACCUAACAAGCUUAGGGCUCAUUUGUCACACAGCAGUAAGUAAGACACAGAACAAUAUAAAUGAAUCUUACCAAUAUAUCACAUGAAAAAUGUAAAUCCAAAAGAUUAUAUAUAUAUAUCUCAAGAUGUAUUUUUGUCAAGUGAAAAGCAAUUAAACAGACUUUUUAGGAAUACAAGUAGAUGCAGUAACACUACACAGAAAAAAAAGACAAAAAGCAACAUUGAACACAGAUUCAAGAUCAUGUUUACCAGGGGUGAAGGGUAGUGGGAGAAGACAAGAUGUGGGAAAUGUGAUAAAGGGAAUUAUAUGUUUAGUAAAGAAUAUUAACAUUUAAGCUGAGCCAUCAAGAAUGGGCAAGACUGUCAUUCAGAAGUCAGAAAGAAGGAAAUUCCAGAUGGAAUAACUAAGUUAAAGCACCAAAGCAAAGAUCACAGGUAUUUUUGGGAAUGAGCAUGUUGGCCAAUUUGGUUAAGUAUAGGCCAUUCAAAAUAAGCAAGAAGUCUGCUCUUAAAAAGAGGCUGGGAUUGCAUCAGCAAGUCUGAACUUGAUUCUGUAGACAACUGGUAGAGCAAGGAGCAAUUAAGGACAGUUAGCUGAAGGUUUUAGUGCUAGGAACUAAGUAGGUUUCAAGGAGAUUGAUCCGACAAGCCUGAGUGACAUAGAUUAGAGGAGUAAGAGACUAGAGGCAAAAAAGAAAAAUCAAUUAGACAGUUAUUACAGAAAUCUAAAUUAGUGUGAAUUGGGGCUUUAAUUAUUCACUCAUAUAAUUCAGUGUUUACUGGAUUCCUUCCUCUAUGCCAGGCACUAUGCUAGAUCCUGAGGAUUCAACAAGGUAGGAAAGAUCCCUCCUAUCAUGAAGCAUAUAUUCUGAUUGGAAACAGGCAAUAAAAAAUAAAAAAAGUGAUAAUUUUAGAUUGUUAUAAGUGUUUCCAAGGAAAUAAACAUGGUGAAACACUAGGAAAUAACAGGGAAGUGAAGAGAAAAAACUUGAAAAAGAACAUUCAAGGUGAUACUGAAGUAGGACUGCAGAGAAUGACAAAGACUAUGAAGGCCACAGGAAAAUGGAACAGCAUUCCAAAGCAGGGGUAAAAGGCCAGGGAGCAGAUAUUUUAGGCUUGUGGACCCUCUGUCUCUAUUCUAACGACUCAACUCUGCAGUUGUUGCUUGAAAGUAGUUACAGACAAUACACAAAUGAAUGGGUGUGGCUGUGUUUGAAGAAAACCUUAUUUACAAAACAGGUGGUGGUCCACAGGCCAUAGUUUUCUGACCCUGUUCUUAAGAAAUAACAGUCCUAAAGAGUGCUGAAAGAAAAGAAAAUUGUCAUUUACUGCUAUGGUGAAGUAAAGAAAAUAAAUAGGAUAAUAGUCGAAA
Homo sapiens (human) is the source of this 5374-nucleotide long non-coding RNA. RefSeq lists it as uncharacterized. NCBI's taxonomy places the organism in Eukaryota, Metazoa, Chordata, Mammalia, Primates, Hominidae. The transcript is spliced from 2 exons. The record is from RefSeq and is a predicted model, not a curated record.